CCUACGGGUGGCAGCAGUGAGGAAUAUUGGUCAAUGGACGAGAGUCUGAACCAGCCAAGCCGCGUGAAGGAUGACUGCCCUAUGGGUUGUAAACUUCUUUUAUAUGGGAAUAAAAUGUUCCACGUAUGGGUUUUUGUAUGUACCAUAUGAAUAAGAAUCGUCUAACUCCGUGCCAGCAGCCGCGGUAAUACGGAGGAUCCGAGCGUUAUCCGGAUGUAUUGGGUUUAAAGGGAGCGUAGGGGGAUUGUUAAGUCAGUUGUGAAAGUUUGGGGCUCAACCCGAGAACUGCAGUUGAAACUGGCAGUCUUGAGUACAGUAGAGGUGGGUGGAAUGCGUGGUGUAGCGGUGAAAUGCUUAGAUAUCACGAAGAACUCCGAUUGCGAAGGCAGCUCACUGGACUGCAACUGACACUGAGGCUCGAAAGUGUGGGUAUCAAACAGGAUUAGAUACCCCUGUAGUC
RNAcentral lists this ribosomal RNA (460 nucleotides) under uncultured bacterium. RNAcentral describes it as "partial 16S ribosomal RNA". It matches the Rfam family "Bacterial small subunit ribosomal RNA", at positions 338 to 795 of the family's 1533-position model. The record is from RNAcentral.